CCUACGGGAGGCAGCAGUGGGGAAUAUUGGACAAUGGGGGAAACCCUGAUCCAGCGACGCCGUGUGAGUGAAGAAGUAUUUCGGUACGUAAAGCUCUAUCAGCAGGAAAGAAAAUGACGGUACCUGACUAAGAAGCCCCGGCUAACUACGUGCCAGCAGCCGCGGUAAUACGUAGGGGGCAAGCGUUAUCCGGAUUUACUGGGUGUAAAGGGAGCGUAGACGGCAGCGCAAGUCUGGAGGGAAAUGCCGGGGCCCAACCACGGAAGUGCUCUGGAAACUGUGAAGCUGGAGUGCAGGAGAGGUAAGCGGAAGUCUGGGGGUAGCGGUGAAAGGCGUAGAGAUCAGGAGGAACACCGGGGGAGAAGGCGGCUUACUGGAGUGUAACUGACGUUGAGGCUCGAAGGCGUGGGGAGCAAACAGGAUUAGAUACCCCGGUAGUC
This 440-nucleotide ribosomal RNA is filed under the name uncultured bacterium. RNAcentral's name for it is "partial 16S ribosomal RNA". It matches the Rfam family "Bacterial small subunit ribosomal RNA", at positions 338 to 795 of the family's 1533-position model. The record is from RNAcentral.